GGAUAAUCCCAGGUGACUGGGGAAAGGUUAAGCCAGGCUGGUUGGCUUAGCCCCUCUAAAGUGGGGCCGAAAGGUUCAAUGGCGGAGGCAAGAUUCACCAGUUCCUCUGACCGCGUUCGCGCGCGGUCAGUAACGCGAAAAAGGAACUGAGCGAUGAGGGGCGAUUAGAAACCGCUCCGAAUUGAGUCAAGUAGCCCGGGCGAGUUUCGAUCCUGGGCAAAUCGCAGUUACCAGAGGGUACUCGGUUGCUACUGUGCAUCAGCACGGUCGGGCGACUCUGGCGGUCUCCGCGAGGGGGUCAGCCAAAGGAAAGACGCCGAAAGGCGGGACAAAGUGAGCGCACGCACCGGGGAGGACACGUGGUCUCGGCAGGACCCGUGAAAACCUUCCGAAACGUCGGCGAUGUUAAAAACGAUACCGCUGACCUGUCGAUGAAAGGCAACCUGAGAGUGAAGAGGCGAGACCCGUGGCACCGGGCGAACGCGCAGCCAAAAGCUGCGGCUGACCCGGCGCUAAGUGGUGAAGACGCGGAGACUGAGUCACAGACGUGUCUUUACCUGGUUCACAGGCCGGUGGCGCAACCACCAGCCGAAGCGAGCUGAAAAGCCUCACUCAAUAAUCCAGUUGCCGUAAGGCGCUGGACGGCCCUGCUACGAGGCCGGAGACUCCGCUUGCCGUGGAGAAUAGCGUCGGGAAGCUGACAGCCCUGCCUUGCGGGGCGCCCAAUGCCAGCACGGGAAAGAGAGUGUGGCGAACUCC
This 759-nucleotide non-coding RNA is filed under the name unclassified sequences. RNAcentral's name for it is "MISL RNA". It matches the Rfam family "MISL RNA". The record is from Rfam by way of RNAcentral.